AGAUUUCCGUUGUAGCAAUACGAUGGAAAGUCUAGUGGCGAACGGGUGCUUAACACGUGGGCAACCUGNCAAGAAGUGGGAGAUAGCUCCCCGAAAGGCGAAUUAAUACCGCAUUGUGAUUAGAGAGGACAUCCUUUCGAAAUUAAAGUCGGGGCAACCUGACGUUUCUUGUGGGGCCCGCGGCCUAUCAGCUAGUUGGUGAGGUAACGGCUCACCAAGGCUUUGACGGGUAGCUGGUCUGAGAGGACGACCAACCACACCGGGGACUGAGAUACGGCCCAGACUCCUACGGGAGGCAGCAGUAGGGAAUUUUCCACAAUGGGCGAAAGCCUGAUGGAGCAACGCCGCGUGCAGGAUGAAGGCCUUCGGGUUGUAAACUGCUUUUCUUGAGGAUGAUUAUGACAGUACUCAAGGAAUAAGGGUCGGCUAACUCCGUGCCAGCAGCCGCGGUCAUACGGAGAACCCAAGCGUUACCCGGAAUUACUGGGCGUAAAGAGUUGCGUAGGUGGUUUGUCAAGUUUUUGCUUAAAGUGCAAGGCUCAACCUUGUUUCAGGCAAAAAAACUGACAUAACUAGAGGAUGGUAGAGGCGAGUGGAAUUUCUGGUGUAGGAGUGAAAUCCGUAGAUAUCAGAAGGAACACCAAUGGCGUAAGCAGCUCGCUGGGCCAUUCCUGACACUGAGGCACGAAAGCGUGGGGAGCGAACCGGAUUAGAUACCCGGGUAGUCCACGCCGUAAACGAUGGAUGCUAGCUGUCAGACGUAUCGACCCGUUUGGUAGCGAAGCUAACGCGUUAAGCAUCCCGCCUGGGGAGUACGGUCGCAAGACUAAAACUCAAAGGAAUUGACGGGGACCCGCACAAGCGAUGGAGCGUGUGGUUUAAUUCGAGGCUACGCGAAGAACCUUACCAAGGCUUGACAUCCCAGUCGCAUGUCUAGGAAACUAGACAGUCAUUUAGUUGGACUGGUGACAGGUGAUGCAUGGCCGUUGUCAGCUCGUGUCGUGAGAUGUUAGGUUAAGUCCUUCAACGAGCGCAACCCUUAUUACUAGUUAAAUAUUCUAGCAAGACGGCCUCGGCAACGAGGAGGAAGGAGGGGAUGACUUCAGGUCCGUAUUUCCCUUAUGUCUUGGGCUACACACACGCUACAAUGGUCGGUACAAUGAGUUUGCCAAGUCGCGAGACGGAGCUAAUCUCAUCAAAACCGAUCUCAGUUCGGAUUGCAGGCUGAAACUCGCCUGCAUGAAGUUGGAAUCGCUAGCAACCGUAGGUCAGCCAUACUACGGUGAAUACAUUCCCGGGUCUUGUACACA
This 1310-nucleotide ribosomal RNA is filed under the name uncultured bacterium. RNAcentral describes it as "bacterial SSU rRNA". It matches the Rfam family "Bacterial small subunit ribosomal RNA", at positions 65 to 1389 of the family's 1533-position model. The record is from RNAcentral.